Molecule: long non-coding RNA, 1190 nt
Filed under: Homo sapiens (human)
Lineage: Eukaryota; Metazoa; Chordata; Mammalia; Primates; Hominidae
Description: HSALNT0028297
Source: RNAcentral
GUGAAUAUGGCACUGAUGAAGGAGCCACAGCUUGAUCAGGAGAAGAUUGAAGCCACAAGGAAGGCGAGAGAGUAAGAAAGCGUCAGGAUCAACGGAUCGGGCAUCCCAAUGAGGCCAGAGAGUUGUGAGCUGUGUAUCUAUCCUGACUCCCACCUUGGACUCCAGCCUAGCUGUGGAGGGACAGCAGUGGCAUGUGACCUGGGCUGUAAAGAAAGGACACAAUAUGAGCGUGCAGAGAUGGAGACAUGGGCAUGCUGAGGAGAGAAGCAGAAGACCCCCAGGGCAUGUGGCUGAAAUGUUAGCACCUGCAACUUGAAAUGAACAUAGAACUGAAGGAACCCUCAAUUUCAUGUCAUGUGUCAAUAUAGAGCCAGCAAAUGUGAGAGCUGGGAGAAAUAAGCAAGGUUAAAUCCCUGUGGUGGUCUUUGGCAUGUCAAGUAUAACGGAGGUUGGCACAAGCAAAAUGCUUUCUUCAGUUCCAAAUUCUAAUUUCCCUCCAGAGAACAAUCAUAUUUCCCUUCAGCUUACUUAGAGUGUGAGUCCACUUGCGAGAGAAAAAUCAGAAAAGAGAGAAAGAGAAAAUGAAGAGAAGAAAAGGCAGCAAAGACAUAGAGAUUUCUCACUCAAGUGGGGCUCAGCACUUUAUCUGUAGGGUGUCCUUCCCAAAGCCCACAGUGCCAGUCUAAUCAUGACAAAAAAAAUAUGACAAGCCCAAAUUGAGGAACAGUCUACAAAAUACUCACCCUGUACUCCUCAAAGCGAUCAAGGUCAUGUAAACAAAAGAAGAUGGAGAAACUGUCACAGUCCAAGGAGGGAGGGCUACUGAGGGCAACAUGGCUGGGAUCCUGGAAAAGAAAAGGAUGCUCGUAGGAAACUGGUAGAAUCCAAAUAACACCUUUAGCUUGGUUUACAGUGAUGUAUAAUGUUGAAUUCUUAGUCCUGACAAAUGUAACAUGGUUAUAUAAGAUGUUAACAUUAGGGGAAACUGGAUGAAGGGUAUACAAGGAUUCUGUGCUAUACUGGCAACUUUUCUGUAAAUCUAAAACUAUUCAAAAAUUUAAAAGUUAUUUACAAAACUUAGGAGAAUCAAAGGAAAAGCAACGUGAGCCUUAAAAUAUAUUAUUUGACUUCACUGGAGAGAAAGAGAGCUGUAUAAGACUUACAUAAAAGGGACCAGCAGUAUAUGCUUU